GGCCUGGCGCCCCCGGGCGGGACGGCGGCCGCGGCAGCCGGCGUUUGAGAGUCCAGCUUCCGGGUCUCGGGCUGCCAGGGCCCAGGCCCUUCUCAGCCGGCGCUACGGGGAAAUGAGGCUCUGAGGGUCUGUCUCGUGGCGAGGCCGCCCCGCAGCCCCGGACCCACUUGGAGCCCGCAGGUCUGGCUGCACCCCCGCCCUGUGGCCUUUUCCCGAAGACUGCUUUCCUAGAGAGACUAUUAAGUGUUGCUUCCUACAGCGCAGGAACUUAACUAGUGGCCUUCAAACAUUUCGCAUACCUACGGGAACUACUUCGUGGCCCGGUCCCUACCAUGCUAGCACUCGGGAGGCUGAAGCAUGAGGAUCGCCUUCAGUUCAAGGCUGGCCUAGGCUACAUAGCGCAAGCCCAGCCUGAACUACACAGCAAGACUAUCUCCCCGCUGCAAAAAAAAUCAUGAUCCAGCACGAACCUGAAUGCAAACUCCACAAGAGCAGAGGUUUUUGUCCUGUUCCUGGCACAUAGAGGUGAUUCCAACUUGCUGGCCUUUUGUUUCCCCUUCGUCAUCUGUAAAGUGGAGAUAACUGUACCCACAUUCUAGAGUUGUGAUGAGGAUUAAUUAUGCAU
Molecule: long non-coding RNA, 625 nt
Organism: Chinchilla lanigera (long-tailed chinchilla)
Lineage: Eukaryota; Metazoa; Chordata; Mammalia; Rodentia; Chinchillidae
Exons: 4
Source: RefSeq, a predicted model, not a curated record